AUUUAAAUAGCUUAUAAGAUAGAGCGUAAUAUUGAAGAUAUUAAGGAGAUAUGUUUAUCUUUAAAUA
Molecule: transfer RNA, 67 nt
Filed under: Helicoverpa assulta
Lineage: Eukaryota; Metazoa; Arthropoda; Insecta; Lepidoptera; Noctuidae
Description: tRNA-Phe
Source: RNAcentral